This 301-nucleotide ribosomal RNA is filed under the name uncultured bacterium. RNAcentral describes it as "partial 16S ribosomal RNA". It matches the Rfam family "Bacterial small subunit ribosomal RNA", at positions 509 to 807 of the family's 1533-position model. The record is from RNAcentral.
CAGUAGCCACGGUAAUACGAAGGGGGCUAGCGUUGUUCGGAUUUACUGGGCGUAAAGCGCACGUAGGCGGACUUUUAAGUCAGGGGUGAAAUCCCGGGGCUCAACCCCGGAACUGCCUUUGAUACUGGAAGUCUUGAGUAUGGUAGAGGUGAGUGGAAUUCCGAGUGUAGAGGUGAAAUUCGUAGAUAUUCGGAGGAACACCAGUGGCGAAGGCGGCUCACUGGUCCAUUACCGACGCUGAGGUGCGAAAGCGUGGGGAGCGAACAGGAUUAGAUACCCGCGUAGUCCCUGUCUCUUAUAC